UGGACGAACCUCUAGUGUACCAGUUGUCUCGCCAGAGGCACCGCUGGGUAGCUAUGUUCGGAAGGGAUAAGCGCUGAAAGCAUCUAAGUGCGAAGCCCACUCCAAGAUAAGGUUUCCCGUGGCUUCGGCCACCUGAAGGCUCCUUGAAGACCACGAGGUCGAUAGGUCGCAGGUGUAAGCACAGCAAUGUGUUCAGCCGAGCGAUACUAAUCAGCCGUGAGGCUUGAUCAUUUU
Molecule: ribosomal RNA, 234 nt
Filed under: Candidatus Latescibacterota bacterium
Lineage: Bacteria; Pseudomonadati; Candidatus Latescibacterota
Description: partial 23S ribosomal RNA
Rfam family: Bacterial large subunit ribosomal RNA
Source: RNAcentral